CCUACAGGGGGCAGCAGUGGGGAAUAUUGGACAAUGGGGGGAACCCUGAUCCAGCCAUGCCGCGUGUGUGAAGAAGGCCCUCGGGUUGUAAAGCACUUUCAGUGAGGAAGAACGCCUGGUGGUUAAUACCCAUCAGGAAAGACAUCACUCACAGAAGAAGCACCGGCUAACUCCGUGCCAGCAGCCGCGGUAAUACGGAGGGUGCGAGCGUUAAUCGGAAUUACUGGGCGUAAAGCGCGCGUAGGUGGCUUGAUAAGCCGGUUGUGAAAGCCCCGGGCUCAACCUGGGAACGGCAUCCGGAACUGUCAAGCUAGAGUGCAGGAGAGGAAGGUAGAAUUCCCGGUGUAGCGGUGAAAUGCGUAGAGAUCGGGAGGAAUACCAGUGGCGAAGGCGGCCUUCUGGACUGACACUGACACUGAGGUGCGAAAGCGUGGGUAGCAAACAGGAUUAGAUACCCGAGUAGUC
Molecule: ribosomal RNA, 465 nt
Filed under: Vreelandella stevensii
Lineage: Bacteria; Pseudomonadati; Pseudomonadota; Gammaproteobacteria; Oceanospirillales; Halomonadaceae
Description: partial 16S ribosomal RNA
Rfam family: Bacterial small subunit ribosomal RNA
Source: RNAcentral